AGAAACUUCAGUACUUUAAAGCUAAUAUCUUGAAAGAUUUUAGAAGUGCAGCAAGAUGGUACUCACACCUAAUGAAAAGGUCUUAGUGAAAAUCAUUUUACAAUUUACAACAUUUGCGUUGUUCUUUACAAAUGUUGUUUCCAUUCCAUGCAAGACAAUUAAUCCAGAAUUAUUUUGACCACAAAUUUUUCUUCCUAAUUAAUUGGCCAAACACAAUGUAAAUAAAAUAGGAAAUGCUUCAGUUAAUAUUUACUAUAUAAACAAACAAACAGAUAGUGGGAUAAUGGUUUUAUCUAUCACCAUAUUCUAGAAUUGUGCCUGGCAUUCAGUAAGCACCUAAUGGAUUAACAAAUAUGUACUUGUAGAUGUCUGCAGACCAAGGUGAAUUUAGUGAAUAUCAAAAACUUCUUGAGUGCUCCAUCGUAACGCCAUUUAUCUUGACAUAAACUGCAAAGAUGGCUCAAAUGUCGAUAAGGAUAUCAGUUCAGGGUCUCCAGUGGCUGCAGCCUAUCCCAGAAGCUCAGGGUGCAAGGCAAGAAGUAAUCGUGGGACCAGGCGCUGUGGCUCUCGCCUGUAAUCCCAGCACUUUGGGAGGCAGAGGCUGGUGAAUCACUUGAGGUCAGGGGUUCCAGACUAGCCUGGCCAACAUGAUGAAACCUCAUCUCCACUAAAAAUACAAAUAUUAAUUGGAUGUAGUGGUACACGCCUGUAAUCCCAGCUACUCGGGAGGCUGAAGCUUGAACCCGGAGGCAGCGGUUGCAGUGAGCUGAGAUCGUGAUACUGCACUCCAGCCUGGGUGAGGGAGUGAGACUCUCUAAAAAAAAAAAAAAAAAAAGACUAACCAUGGGCAAGACAUCGUCCCAUUGCAGGGUGCACUCACACACACCCACACUCACUCACACUGGAACAGUGUAGACACACCGAUGAACCCAACAUGCACAUCUUUGGGAUACUAGAGUAAACUGGAGUGCUUAGAGAAAACCCAUGAGAACAUAGGAAGAACUUGCAAACUCCACACAGACAGUGGUCCCUGCAGGGUUUUUCUGUUUGUUGGUUGUUUUUCCUUCAUCAAGUUUGUAAUGAAACGAUGUUGAAUGAUAAAAUAUUAUUUGAGGAAUUGUUGUACAAGGAUUUUGGCAUUUGUCUGGAUAUGGAAAUCAAAGACAUUUUAAAGUGAUUAUAAAUCUUUGUACAUGUUGACAAUAUUCAAUUCAGUUAAAGGCUUUAUCACAG
This 1233-nucleotide long non-coding RNA is filed under the name Pan troglodytes (chimpanzee). RNAcentral's name for it is "long non-coding RNA NONPTRT004332". The record is from RNAcentral. Lineage: Eukaryota; Metazoa; Chordata; Mammalia; Primates; Hominidae.